GGUCGCCGGUGGCUAAUACAUGCAAGUCGAACGCGUUGGCCCAAUUGAUUGAUGGUGCUUGCACCUGAUUGAUUUUGGUCGCCAACGAGUGGCGGACGGGUGAGUAACACGUAGGUAACCUGCCCAGAAGCGGGGGACAACAUUUGGAAACAGAUGCUAAUACCGCAUAACAGCGUUGUUCGCAUGAACAACGCUUAAAAGAUGGCUUCUCGCUAUCACUUCUGGAUGGACCUGCGGUGCAUUAGCUUGUUGGUGGGGUAACGGCCUACCAAGGCGAUGAUGCAUAGCCGAGUUGAGAGACUGAUCGGCCACAAUGGGACUGAGACACGGCCCAUACUCCUACGGGAGGCAGCAGUAGGGAAUCUUCCACAAUGGGCGCAAGCCUGAUGGAGCAACACCGCGUGAGUGAAGAAGGGUUUCGGCUCGUAAAGCUCUGUUGUUAAAGAAGAACACGUAUGAGAGUAACUGUUCAUACGUUGACGGUAUUUAACCAGAAAGUCACGGCUAACUACGUGCCAGCAGCCGCGGUAAUACGUAGGUGGCAAGCGUUAUCCGGAUUUAUUGGGCGUAAAGAGAGUGCAGGCGGUUUUCUAAGUCUGAUGUGAAAGCCUUCGGCUUAACCGGAGAAGUGCAUCGGAAACUGGAUAACUUGAGUGCAGAAGAGGGUAGUGGAACUCCAUGUGUAGCGGUGGAAUGCGUAGAUAUAUGGAAGAACACCAGUGGCGAAGGCGGCUACCUGGUCUGCAACUGACGCUGAGACUCGAAAGCAUGGGUAGCGAACAGGAUUAGAUACCCUGGUAGUCCAUGCCGUAAACGAUGAGUGCUAGGUGUUGGAGGGUUUCCGCCCUUCAGUGCCGGAGCUAACGCAUUAAGCACUCCGCCUGGGGAGUACGACCGCAAGGUUGAAACUCAAAGGAAUUGACGGGGGCCCGCACAAGCGGUGGAGCAUGUGGUUUAAUUCGAAGCUACGCGAAGAACCUUACCAGGUCUUGACAUCUUGCGCCAACCCUAGAGAUAGGGCGUUUCCUUCGGGAACGCAAUGACAGGUGGUGCAUGGUCGUCGUCAGCUCGUGUCGUGAGAUGUUGGGUUAAGUCCCGCAACGAGCGCAACCCUUGUUACUAGUUGCCAGCAUUAAGUUGGGCACUCUAGUGAGACUGCCGGUGACAAACCGGAGGAAGGUGGGGACGACGUCAGAUCAUCAUGCCCCUUAUGACCUGGGCUACACACGUGCUACAAUGGACGGUACAACGAGUCGCGAACUCGCGAGGGCAAGCAAAUCUCUUAAAACCGUUCUCAGUUCGGACUGCAGGCUGCAACUCGCCUGCACGAAGUCGGAAUCGCUAGUAAUCGCGGAUCAGCAUGCCGCGGUGAAUACGUUCCCGGGCCUUGUACACACCGCCCGUCACACCAUGAGAGUUUGUAACACCCAAAGUCGGUGGGGUAACCUUUUAGGAGCCAGCCGCCUAAGGGUAGCCGUUUCC
Molecule: ribosomal RNA, 1482 nt
Filed under: Limosilactobacillus fermentum
Lineage: Bacteria; Bacillati; Bacillota; Bacilli; Lactobacillales; Lactobacillaceae
Description: bacterial SSU rRNA
Rfam family: Bacterial small subunit ribosomal RNA
Source: RNAcentral